UGAGCAUGCCUGUCGGGACCCGA
This 23-nucleotide small RNA is filed under the name Arabidopsis thaliana (thale cress). RNAcentral's name for it is "AGO4_01320". The record is from RNAcentral. Lineage: Eukaryota; Viridiplantae; Streptophyta; Magnoliopsida; Brassicales; Brassicaceae.